This 637-nucleotide ribosomal RNA is filed under the name uncultured bacterium. RNAcentral's name for it is "bacterial SSU rRNA". It matches the Rfam family "Bacterial small subunit ribosomal RNA", at positions 202 to 839 of the family's 1533-position model. The record is from RNAcentral.
UAAAGAUCCGUCGGAUGGGGAUAGGCUCGCGUGACAUUAGCUAGACGGCGGGGUAACGGCCCACCGUGGCGACGAUGUCUAGGGGUUCUGAGAGGAAGGUCCCCCACACUGGAACUGAGACACGGUCCAGACUCCUACGGGAGGCAGCAGUGAGGAAUAUUGGUCAAUGGCCGGAAGGCUGAACCAGCCAUGCCGCGUGAAGGUCAGUGCCCUAUGGGCGUUAAACUUCUUUUGUGCGGGAGCAAUAAUGGUCACGUGUGGCCAGACGAGAGUACCGUACGAAUAAGCAUCGGCUAACUCCGUGCCAGCAGCCGCGGUAAUACGGGGGAUGCAAGCGUUAUCCGGAUUUAUUGGGUUUAAAGGGUGCGUAGGCUGUGAGGUAAGUCAGCGGUGAAAUGCCCCCGCUCAACGGGGUGAAGUGCCAUUGAUACUGCCUUGCUGGAAUGCGGAUGCCGUGGGAGGAAUGUGUGGUGUAGCGGUGAAAUGCAUAGAUAUCACACAGAACACCGAUUGCGAAGGCAUCUCACGAAUCCGCGAUUGACGCUGAUGCACGAAAGCGUGGGUAUCAAACAGGAUUAGAUACCCUGGUAGUCCACGCUGUAAACGAUGAUGACUAACCGUCGGCGAUACACAGUCG